AAGAGCCAGACCCUGUGGGACAGAGGAAGGAUGUUGUCAGAUCACACUUCAGAAAGGCUGUUCCAGUCGGGACUGAGUGGGUUGACCAGUCAAGGUUAAGUGCAGGGAGACCGCUUUUCUGAUCUGUAAAAUGGGGUAAUAUGCCAAUCUCAACAGAGGUGGAACAGAGGUGGAAGGCGAGAGCAGAAGCGGACACACUUUACAGCUUCCAGGUGUCUGUCGUUCGUUCCAGCCCAGGGCGCUGGCGGGCUGGAGGCGGGGCUUGCGGUAGCCCCGGAUGUGCGCAGGCGCAGUUCGGCUUUCUCCACCUGCCCGCCUCUGAUCCUGGGUGAGCGGUAGCCGUUUCCUGCUCGACGCGGUCUUCUGGCAGGAUGGGCAGCGUCAGAGAGCGAAGGAAGGAAUGAACCAACGGAAGGAACGCUUGGGGCCCAGGCCACAUUGGGAUACAGCAGUGACGGAGGAGGACUCUUUGUGGGGCGUCACGGGCAUCCAUGGUGUCUGUGGAAGCUUGCGGAGAGGAAAGGCCAUGUGAAGACACGGUGAGAAGGCAGCCAUUCCCCAAGCCAGGAGGAGAAUCCUCACCAGAAACCAAAUUUGCUGGCACCUUGAUUGUGGACUUCUAGCCUCUAGAAUUGUGAGAAAAUAAAUGUCUGUUGUUU
Molecule: long non-coding RNA, 659 nt
Organism: Prionailurus viverrinus (fishing cat)
Lineage: Eukaryota; Metazoa; Chordata; Mammalia; Carnivora; Felidae
Exons: 3
Source: RefSeq, a predicted model, not a curated record